GGACAUAAAGGAUCCAAAGCAAUUCUUAGUUGCUUCACUAGCAAAUCUUUCUGCUCAAACCCCUGGGAGGUAUCCCCAGAUAAUUAGUGAAAAUCUUGACCCAGCUAAUCAAACAGCAUUAUUACAGUUUUGUACUACUUACAAUUGCCCAAUUGUUUGAGUAAGUAGCUACUUAUAUAGCAGCCAUUAUCUCUGUUUAUUGUGCUUUUUUUCUUUUUGUUAAUUUUGCUACCGAACAUGAAGUGUAUUCUAUGACACGGACAUUCACUUAAAUUGGUUGAGAACAAUAUUGGUGUGAUAGCUGCCUUAGAUGUUCCUAGAUUGAUUCUGAGCUUGCCAAUCUUAUGAGGCUUUUGGAUUGCAUUAAUAAUGAUAUAGUUAACAUGAUCUUGGCAUAAAGCUAGAAUUGUGUGGUGAUAGUGUAUUGUUUUGUGUGUAAGUAUAUGCACACACACACAUGGUUGGAGGUGGGAUCUUAGCAAUUUAUUCUUUGUUUAUUUUAUGGAAGGUGAAAUAAUCUCUUAUAUGUCUUCUCUUAUGAUCCUGAAUUAGAGAGAGGCAUAUAUGAGGUCUGUGUGCUUCUUUUGAAGUUGUGGUCACUGUAAAGACUUUCUUUGUACUUUUGCUAUUGGAAGCUUUAUAGGUACUUCACCUCUUGGAUUGUUAGCUGUGAUGUUGUUUAAUUGAUCUAUUAUGUCUUCACUUUUUAUAAUAUAACACGUCUCGUGUUAUUUUUGAAAUAUCGUGUCUGCCUUUGUUUUGUACCUAUAUGGCUCAACUCCAUAGCUUUCUCUGGCUAUUGAUACACAUGCUUGAGUUGAGUCACCUUGUGAAUGUGUCAAGGAGGCAAUUUGAAAAAGGAGAACAGUAAAUUGCUAGCUGAACUGCUAUAUGGGUGACUUAGUUUGCAACUGAACAGAGAAAUUAGUAAUGCAUCUGAACUUUUUAUUCCUAACAUUGUGGAAAAUGAAUCAUAAAUUGAAUGAUUUUAGCACUUAUAAUUUUAUGAAUUGAAGACUGUAACCUUAUCUUUUAUUUUUCAUCCAGCAGUGCACAUGUGAUAGUGCAGACCAUUCUAUUUGAUUAUCCUUGUUUAAAAUUGUAAAUUUGUGCUCCACUUGUAAGCUUUCUUAUUACUAUUUUUUUUUUUACUCAGUUUUAUCUAGCUUCCUGAAAUCUGACAAUUUUGGGACUCAUACAUCAGUCAAGAGGGAGUUUCGUUAUUGAGUGUUAGUUUCCCUGUUAAAAGUCAAUUUACACCUAUGCAAGUGGAUUUUGUUUGUCCAUUCUCUUUUUGUUCCUCCUGUUUUUAUCAAAUUUGAGAAGCUUAUGACAUUGACACUGAAAUGUAUUUUUAUUCCUCGUGUUUUCUUAGCUUCAUUUAAGAUCCUCUCCUUGGUAAGUAAGUUCCUUGUUUCCAUAAUUUUUUUUUAAUUUGCUCCAAGUGCUUUGUUUAGAUUCAGGGAAUUGGUGUGUAACCUUUAAUCUUCUUCAAAAGACCUUAGUCUAACUCCAUUCCCAUUUGGGCCUAAAUUUCUUGAUCUGUGCUAUAUGAGAGAGGAAGAAGGGAAGGAGAAAGAAGAAAGAGGGGGGGAGAGUGCGAGAAAACAGGCAAACCCCAAAAAAGAUGUUGAGUUACUUUGUUGUCUUCAGUGUACUGUUAUUAUGAGGUCAGACUGCAUGCAAGAUGUUUGAAAUAUAACUUUGUUAUGGAUUAAAAUGUUACAUCUGCCUAGUUGAUGUCUUCUUUGCCUUUCAUUUACACCUCUUCUAGUUAAUUGUAAAAGUAUCUUACCAUUCUCGUGCGCUGGUUUUCAGAAUCUUGUAUGGGAAUUGAGGUCU
Molecule: unclassified non-coding RNA, 1842 nt
Filed under: Hevea brasiliensis (rubber tree)
Lineage: Eukaryota; Viridiplantae; Streptophyta; Magnoliopsida; Malpighiales; Euphorbiaceae
Source: RNAcentral